Molecule: ribosomal RNA, 389 nt
Filed under: uncultured bacterium
Lineage: Bacteria
Description: bacterial SSU rRNA
Rfam family: Bacterial small subunit ribosomal RNA
Source: RNAcentral
AUUAAACGCUGGCGGCAUGCCUUACACAUGCAAGUCGAACGGCGGCACGGGGGCAACCCUGGUGGCGAGUGGCGAACGGGUGAGUAAAGCAUCGGAACGUGCCCUGGAGUGGGGGAUAACGUAGCGAAAGUUACGCUAAUACCGCAUAUUCUGUGAGCAGGAAAGCAGGGGAUCGCAAGACCUUGCGCUCUGGGAGCGGCCGAUGUCGGAUUAGCUAGUUGGUGGGGUAAAGGCCUACCAAGGCGACGAUCCGUAGCGGGUCUGAGAGGAUGAUCCGCCACACUGGGACUGAGACACGGCCCAGACUCCUACGGGAGGCAGCAGUGGGGGAAUUUUUGGACAAUGGGCGAAAGCCUGAUCCAGCCAUGCCGCGUGAGUGAAGAAGGCCU